Molecule: ribosomal RNA, 531 nt
Filed under: uncultured bacterium
Lineage: Bacteria
Description: bacterial SSU rRNA
Rfam family: Bacterial small subunit ribosomal RNA
Source: RNAcentral
AAUAGAUACCCUGGUAGUCCACGCCGUAAACGAUGAGUGCUAAGUGUUAGAGGGUUUCCGCCCUUUAGUGCUGCAGCAAACGCAUUAAGCACUCCGCCGUGGGGAGUACGGCCGCAAGGCUGAAACUCAAAGGAAUUGACGGGGGCCCGCACAAGCGGUGGAGCAUGUGGUUUAAUUCGAAGCAACGCGAAGAACCUUACCAGGUCUUGACAUCUCCUGACAACCCUAGAGAUAGGGCGUUCCCCUUCGGGGGACAGGAUGACAGGUGGUGCAUGGUUGUCGUCAGCUCGUGUCGUGAGAUGUUGGGUUAAGUCCCGCAACGAGCGCAACCCUUGAUCUUAGUUGCCAGCAUUCAGUUGGGCACUCUAAGGUGACUGCCGGUGACAAACCGGAGGAAGGUGGGGAUGACGGUCAAAUCAUCAUGCCCCUUAUGACCUGGGCUACACACGUGCUACAAUGGAUGGUACAAAGGGCUGCGAGACCGCGAGGUUAAGCGAAUCCCAUAAAACCAUUCUCAGUUCGGAUUGCAGG